This 277-nucleotide unclassified non-coding RNA is filed under the name Basidiomycota sp. Its description in RNAcentral is "partial contains small subunit ribosomal RNA, internal transcribed spacer 1, and 5.8S ribosomal RNA". The stretch from base 1 to 47 matches the Rfam family "Eukaryotic small subunit ribosomal RNA", at positions 1785 to 1831 of the family's 1831-position model. Lineage: Eukaryota; Fungi; Basidiomycota. The record is from RNAcentral.
AAAGUCGUAACAAGGUUUCCGUAGGUGAACCUGCGGAAGGAUCAUUAUUGAAAGAAACCUCAGGCAGGGGGAGGUGGUUGUAGCUGGCCCUUAGGGGCAUGUGCACACUGUGUCUCUCUUGCUUGUUUCUUCAUUCUCUCCACUUGUGCACUGCUUGUAGGCAGCCCUGGCAUUGUUCAGGUUGUCUAUGAUUUUCUUUACAUACAUGAACACUUGUUGUACAGAAUGUGAUAAAAAACUAGUAAUACAACUUUCAACAACGGAUCUCUUGGCUCUC